This 253-nucleotide ribosomal RNA is filed under the name uncultured bacterium. RNAcentral's name for it is "partial 16S ribosomal RNA". It matches the Rfam family "Bacterial small subunit ribosomal RNA", at positions 524 to 776 of the family's 1533-position model. The record is from RNAcentral.
UACGUAGGGGGCAAGCGUUAUCCGGAUUUACUGGGUGUAAAGGGGGCGCAGACGGCAGCGCAAGCCAGGAGUGAAAGCCCGGGGCCCAACCCCGGGACUGCUCUUGGAACUGCGCGGCUGGAGUGCAGGAGGGGCAGGCGGAAUUCCUGGUGUAGCGGUGAAAUGCGUAGAUAUCAGGAGGAACACCAGUGGCGAAGGCGGUCUGCUGGACAGCAACUGACGCUGAGGCGCGAAAGCGUGGGGAGCAAACAGG